AGCCAAGCAGUGAUGCCUAAUACACGCAUAGUUCAUCCGACGUGGGCUUACUACCCGCAAUGCUGAACUAGAAUUGUCUUUCGCUCCUAUCUGAGCUUGGAU
RNAcentral lists this small nucleolar RNA (102 nucleotides) under Volvox carteri f. nagariensis. Its description in RNAcentral is "Small nucleolar RNA snR60/Z15/Z230/Z193/J17". It matches the Rfam family "Small nucleolar RNA snR60/Z15/Z230/Z193/J17". From Rfam's summary of the family: The members of this family belong to the C/D class of snoRNAs which contain the C (UGAUGA) and D (CUGA) box motifs. The record is from Rfam by way of RNAcentral. Lineage: Eukaryota; Viridiplantae; Chlorophyta; Chlorophyceae; Chlamydomonadales; Volvocaceae.